UGACAGUUGUUCCAUUUGUUAAAUAUCCCAAUUGUUUAACAGUGUUUUAGGCUGUCAUAGAUGAUAACUGACCAUCUUCACCCUGUAUUUUAUGAGUUGGAAAAAAUAUUGGUUUUGCAAGGUCAUACAAUU
Molecule: small nucleolar RNA, 132 nt
Organism: Diabrotica virgifera virgifera (western corn rootworm)
Lineage: Eukaryota; Metazoa; Arthropoda; Insecta; Coleoptera; Chrysomelidae
Product: small nucleolar RNA SNORA79
Exons: 1
Source: RefSeq, a predicted model, not a curated record